Molecule: long non-coding RNA, 3093 nt
Organism: Oncorhynchus tshawytscha (Chinook salmon)
Lineage: Eukaryota; Metazoa; Chordata; Actinopteri; Salmoniformes; Salmonidae
Source: Ensembl
UGAGUGUUGGAGUGUUCCCUGGCUAUCUGUAAUGAUGUCUGAGUGUUGGAGUGUUCCCCUGGCUAUCUGUAAAUGAUGUCUGAGUGUUGGAGUGUUCCCCUGGCUGUCUGUAAAUGAUGUCUGAGUGUUGGAGUGUUCCCCUGGCUGUCUGUAAAUGAUGUCUGAGUGUUGGAGUGUUCCCCUGGUUACCUGUAAAUUUUGCAAACAAGUAAACUGUGCCGUCUGGUUUGCUAAAUAUAAGGAAUUUGAAAUUAUUUAUACUUUUACUUUUACUUUUGAUACUUAAGUAUAUUUUAACAAUUACAUAUAUUUUUGAUAAUUAAGUACAUUUUAAACCAAAUAUUUUUAGACUUUAACUCAAGUAGUAUUUUACUAGGUGACCUUUACUUUUACUUGAGUCAUUUUCAAUUAAGGUAUCAUUACUUUUACUCAAGUAUGACAAUUGGGUACUUUCCACCACUGCCAGUACCCAGUCGAUGUGCAGGUGUACGAUGUAAUUGAGGUCGAUAUGUACAUAUAGGGAUAAAGUGACUAAGCAGCAGGAUAGAUAAUAAACCGUAGCAGCAGUGUAUGUGAAGAGUCCAAAAAAAGUUAGUGGAAUAAGGUUCAAUGCAGAUCAAUCUGGGUAGCUAUUUAACUAACUAUUUAACUAACUAUUUAACUAACUAUUUAGUAGUCUUAUGCCUUGGAGGUCGAAGCUGUUCAGGAUCCUGUUGGUUCCAGACUUGGUGCAUCGGAACCGCUCGCCGUGCGGUAGCAGAGAGAACUGUCUGUGACUGGGGUGGCUGGAGUCUUUGACUAUUGUUAGGACCUUCCUCUGACACCACCUGGGAUAGAGGUCCUUGAUGGCAGGAAGCUUGGUCCCAGUGAUGAACUGGGCCGUACACACUACCUUCUGUAGCGUCUUACGGUCAGAUGCCAAGCCGUUACCAUACCAAGUGGUGAAGCAGCCAGUCAAGAUGCUCUCAAUGGCGCAGCUGUAGAACUUUCUGAGGAUCUGAGGACUCAUGCUGAAUCUUCUUCCUGAGAGGAAAGAGGCGUUGUCAUGCUCUCUUCACGACUGUAUUGUGUGUGUGUGGACCAUGAUAAUUCCUUAUUGAUGUGGACACCAAGGAACUUUAAACUCUCGACUCGCUCCACUGCAGCCCCAUCAAUGUGCUCGGCUGACCUCCUCCCUAUAGGCUGUCUCAUCGUUGAGGGAGAGGUUGUUAUCCUGACACCACACUGCCAGGUCUCUGACCUCCUCCCUAUAGGCUGUCUCAUCGUUGAGGGAGAGGUUGUUAUCCUGACACCACACUGCCAGGUCUCUGACCUCCUCCCUAUAGGCUGUCUCAUCGUUGAGGGAGAGGUUGUUGUCCUGACACCACACUGCCAGGUCUCUGACCUCCUCCCUAUAGGCUGUCUCAUCAGGCCAACCACCGUCGAGUCGUCAGUAAACCUAAUGAUGGUGUUGGAGUCAUGCAAUCGUGGGUGAACAGGGGGUACAGGAAUCACCCCUGAGGGGUCCCCUUGUUGAGAGUCAGCGUGGUGGAUGUGUUGUCACCUACCCUUACCACCUGGGGGCGGCCCGUCAGGAAGUCCGGGAUCCACUUGCAGAGGGAGGUGUUCAGUCCCAGGGUCCUGAUCUUAGUGAUGAGUUUGAAGGGCACAAUGGUGUUGAAUGCUGAGCUAUCAAUGAGGGAUCAUAGCUUUCACCUGGAUUCACCUGGUCAGUCUAUGUCAUGGAAAAGAGCAUGUGUUCCUAAUGUUUUGUACACUCAGUUUAUAAUGUCCUUAUUCAGUCAUGAUUCUGAAAAGCAUAGGAUAUUACAGUUGUUGGGGUCUUGUUGAUGGGAUAGUCUCGAAUGGAUCUCGUCCAGGUUGUUGGGGUCUUGUUGAUGGGAUAGUCUCGAAUGGAUCUCGUCCGGGUUGUUGGGGUCUUGUUGAUGGGAUAGUCUCGAAUGGAUCUCGUCCGGGUUGUUGGGGUCUUGUUGAUGGGAUAGUCUCGAAUGGAUCUCGUCCGGGUUGUUGGGGUCUUGUUGAUAGGAUAGUCUCGAAUGGAUCUCGUCCGGGUUGUUGGGGUCUUGUUGAUAGGAUAGUCUCGAAUGGAUCUCGUCCGGGUUGUUGGGGUCUUGUUGAUAGGAUAGUCUCGAAUGGAUCUCAUCCGGGUUGUUGGGGUCUUGUUGAUGGGAUAGUCUCGAAUGGAUCUCGUCCGGGUUGUUGGGGUCUUGUUGAUAGGAUAGUCUCGAAUGGAUCUCGUCCGGGUUGUUGGCGUCUUGUUGAUGGGAUAGUCUCGAAUGGAUCUCGUCCGGGUUGUUCUCCAGUGUACAAUAGAACAGCGGAGAGGAGGAGGAGGAGGAGACGAGGAAGAUGAGGUUGUAGAGGUGGUUUAUUUAGCUCGUCUGCCUCUCUUCCUCUUUCCAGUCCCCGUGGAUUAGGGCCUGGUCCGGAACGAGCAGUACAUCCACAGCUGCCGACUCGUUGAAGUAGAAAUCCAAAUCCAAAUCGAGGUUAGUGAUCGCUGUUCUGAUGUCCAGAAGAUGUUUUCGGUUGUAGGAAAUGAUCUCGGAAACAUUAUGUAAAAUAAAUAAGUUAAGACCACUAAAAAAAAAAUGGUGGGGGGGGGCAGAAUUGGUCAGGAGCCUGCAAGACAGCAGCUGUCCACUGCAGUCCUGUCAUGUUCAGUUAUGACUGGGGGAGGGGAAGCUGAUCCUAGAUCUGUCCCUAGUGGAAACUUCACCCUGGUGCAGUGUGGUCGGAGCUCAAUCAAGUUCAUCCAAUCCCUCCACCCUCCACACCAUCAUAAGCCCCGUCCACUGCCAGGGUUGCUGGGAGUUGUAGGCGUCUGUUUGGAGUGUGUGACUGCAGCUGUGUGUGUCCUCUCCUGUUUUCUCUGCUGUAUCCAGCGAUAGCAAUAAUUCCUCUCACUCUACCUUUCUCUUGUUCUCAUUUUUCUGUUAUUAUCGAUCUCCCCCCCAUCCUUCUUGUUCACAACCCAGGCUAGGUUUGGUUCCUGUAGUGGUGUGAUGUGUGUGUGUGUGUGUUUGGUGUAGUCGUCUGUAUUACAGUAUUUGUUCUGUUUAGGAGGUUGUAGGUGGGAAGGGGGAUAGGGGG